AGGACGGAAACGUUCAGCCCCUGGACAGGCAGUUAGCGCCGUUCCCUCGGGGUCACCAGGACGGAGGUUUCCAUCUCCCAAACAGGCGGUUAGCGCCGGCCCCUCGGGGUCACCAGGAAGAUCUAGAAAUGAAAUAUGAGCCAGCGGCUCGCCAAAAACACCCAUCUCUGGGCCGAUGAAUAUUUCAGCGACGGUGGCGAAGCGCUUUCUCCAUUUAAUGCUUGUCUUGGAUCGAGUUCGGCUCAGAUUCAAGGACUUCUCACCGGAGCCGAAGAAUGCACAUUUUAGAGUUAGAUGAUACUGCGAAAGGAUCGCGUCCGCAUGAAAUAUUUAUCGAUGAGGCUUCCCCCGGGCGCUUGUGAUCUCACUCCCUCAUAAAUAUUGAAAAUGCUUG
Long non-coding RNA from Ornithorhynchus anatinus (platypus), 394 nucleotides. RefSeq lists it as uncharacterized. Lineage: Eukaryota; Metazoa; Chordata; Mammalia; Monotremata; Ornithorhynchidae. The record is from RefSeq and is a predicted model, not a curated record. The transcript is spliced from 3 exons.